AUUGAACGCUGGCGGCAUGCCUUACACAUGCAAGUCGAACGGUAACAGGUCUUCGGAUGCUGACGAGUGGCGAACGGGUGAGUAAUACAUCGGAACGUGCCUAGUAGUGGGGGAUAACUACUCGAAAGAGUGGCUAAUACCGCAUGAGAUCUACGGAUGAAAGCAGGGGAUCGCAAUACCUUGUGCUACUAGAGCGGCCGAGGGCGGAUGAGGUAGUUGGUGGGAUAAAGGCUUACCAAGCCGACGAUCUGUAGCUGGUCUGAGAGGACGAUCAGCCACACUGGGACUGAGACACGGCCCAGACUCCUACGGGGGCAGCAGUGGGGAAUUUUGGACAAUGGGCGCAAGCCUGAUCCAGCAAUGCCGCGUGCAGGAUGAAGGCCUUCGGGUUGUAAACUGCUUUUGUACGGAACGAAAAGCCCCGGGUUAAUACCCUGGGGUCAUGACGGUACCGUAAGAAUAAGCACCGGCUAACUACGUGCCAGCCGCCGCCGUAA
This 497-nucleotide ribosomal RNA is filed under the name uncultured bacterium. Its description in RNAcentral is "partial 16S ribosomal RNA". It matches the Rfam family "Bacterial small subunit ribosomal RNA", at positions 30 to 523 of the family's 1533-position model. The record is from RNAcentral.